This 673-nucleotide ribosomal RNA is filed under the name Rhizoctonia solani. RNAcentral describes it as "eukaryotic LSU rRNA". The stretch from base 249 to 402 matches the Rfam family "5.8S ribosomal RNA". The record is from RNAcentral. Lineage: Eukaryota; Fungi; Basidiomycota; Agaricomycetes; Cantharellales; Ceratobasidiaceae.
AACCUGCGGAAGGAUCAUUAUUGAAUUAAUGUAGAGUUUGGUUGUAGCUGGCUCCUAAUUAAACUUGGGGGCAUGUGCACACCUUUCUCUUUCAUCCCAUACACACCUGUGCACCUGUGAGACAGAUGUUUUGUGGGGGGGAAGGAACUUUAUUGGACCUUCUACUCCCCCUUGACUUCUGUCUACUUAAUUCAUAUAAACUCAAUUUAUUUUAAAACGGAUGUAAUGGAUGUAACACAUCUAAUACUAAGUUUCAACAACGGAUCUCUUGGCUCUCGCAUCGAUGAAGAACGCAGCGAAAUGCGAUAAGUAAUGUGAAUUGCAGAAUUCAGUGAAUCAUCGAAUCUUUGAACGCACCUUGCGCUCCUUGGUAUUCCUUGGAGCAUGCCUGUUUGAGUAUCAUGAAAUCUUCAAAGUCAAACCUUUUGUUAAUUCAAUUGGUUCUGCUUUGGUAUUGGAGGAUUAUUGCAGCUUCACACCUGCUCCUCUUUGUGCAUUAGCUGGAUCUCAGUGUUAUGCUUGGUUCCACUCAGCGUGAUAAGUUAUCUAUCGCUGAGGACACCCUGUUAAAAAGGGGUGGCCAAGGUAAAUGCAGAUGAACCGCUUCUAAUAGUCCAUUGACUUGGACAAUAUCUAAUUUAUGAUCUGAUCUCAAAUCAGGUAGGACUACCCG